AUUGAACGCUGGCGGCAGGCCUAACACAUGCAAGUCGAGCGGAUGAAGGGAGCUUGCUCCUGGAUUCAGCGGCGGACGGGUGAGUAAUGCCCAGGAAUCUGCCUGGCAGUGGGGGAUAACGUCCGGAAACGGGCGCUAAUACCGCAUCCGACCUGAGGGUGAAAGGGGGGGAUCUUCGGACCCCACGCUAUCAGGUGAGCCUAGGUCGGAUUAGCUAGUUGGUUGGGUAAAGGGCUACCAAGGCGACGAUCCGUAACUGGUCUGAGAGGCUGAUCAGCCACACUGGAACUGAGACACGGUCCAGACUCCUACGGGAGGCAGCAGUGGGGAAUAUUGGACAAUGGGCGAAAGCCUGAUACAGCCAUGCCGCGUGUGUGAAGGAGGUCUUCGGAUUGUAAAGCACUUUAAGUUGGGAGGAAGGGCAGUAAGUUAAUACCUUGCUGUUUUGACGGUACCAACAGAAUAAGCACCGGCUAACUUCGUG
This 484-nucleotide ribosomal RNA is filed under the name uncultured bacterium. RNAcentral's name for it is "partial 16S ribosomal RNA". It matches the Rfam family "Bacterial small subunit ribosomal RNA", at positions 30 to 507 of the family's 1533-position model. The record is from RNAcentral.